Molecule: ribosomal RNA, 497 nt
Filed under: uncultured bacterium
Lineage: Bacteria
Description: partial 16S ribosomal RNA
Rfam family: Bacterial small subunit ribosomal RNA
Source: RNAcentral
GAUGAACGCUGGCGGCGUGCCUAAUACAUGCAAGUCGAGCGAACAGACGAGGAGCUUGCUCCUCUGACGUUAGCGGCGGACGGGUGAGUAACACGUGGAUAACCUACCUAUAAGACUGGGAUAACUUCGGGAAACCGGAGCUAAUACCGGAUAAUAUAUUGAACCGCAUGGUUCAAUAGCGAAAGACGGUUUUGCUGUCACUUAUAGAUGGAUCCGCGCCGCAUUAGCUAGUUGGUAAGGUAACGGCUUACCAAGGCAACGAUGCGUAGCCGACCUGAGAGGGUGAUAGGCCACACUGGAACUGAGACACGGUCCAGACUCCUACGGGAGGCAGCAGUAGGGAAUCUUCCGCAAUGGGCGAAAGCCUGACGGAGCAACGCCGCGUGAGUGAUGAAGGUCUUCGGAUCGUAAAACUCUGUUAUUAGGGAAGAACAAAUGUGUAAGUAACUAUGCACGUCUUGACGGUACCUAAUCAGAAAGCCACGGCUAACUACGUG